CACGUAGGGUGCAAGCGUUGUCCGGAAUUAUUGGGCGUAAAGAGCUUGUAGGCGGUCUGUCGCGUCUGCUGUGAAAAUCCGGGGCUCAACCCCGGACUUGCAGUGGGUACGGGCAGACUAGAGUGUGGUAGGGGAGACUGGAAUUCCUGGUGUAGCGGUGAAAUGCGCAGAUAUCAGGAGGAACACCGAUGGCGAAGGCAGGUCUCUGGGCCACUACUGACGCUGAGAAGCGAAAGCAUGGGGAGCGAACAGG
RNAcentral lists this ribosomal RNA (253 nucleotides) under uncultured bacterium. RNAcentral's name for it is "partial 16S ribosomal RNA". It matches the Rfam family "Bacterial small subunit ribosomal RNA", at positions 524 to 776 of the family's 1533-position model. The record is from RNAcentral.